This 490-nucleotide ribosomal RNA is filed under the name uncultured bacterium. RNAcentral describes it as "partial 16S ribosomal RNA". It matches the Rfam family "Bacterial small subunit ribosomal RNA", at positions 28 to 507 of the family's 1533-position model. The record is from RNAcentral.
GAUGAACGCUAGCUACAGGCUUAACACAUGCAAGUCGCGGGGCAGCAUGGGGGUUGCUUGCACUCCCCGAUGGCGACCGGCGCACGGGUGAGUAACGCGUAUCCAACCUGCCCUUCACCACGGGAUAACCCGGCGAAAGUCGGACUAAUACCGUAUGUUGUCCAUUGACGGCAUCCGAUUUGGACGAAAGGUUUGGCGGUGAAGGAUGGGGAUGCGUCCGAUUAGCUGGACGGCGGGGUGACGGCCCACCGUGGCGACGAUCGGUAGGGGUUCUGAGAGGAAGGUCCCCCACACUGGAACUGAGACACGGUCCAGACUCCUACUGGAGGCAGCAGUGAGGAAUAUUGGUCAAUGGGCGUAAGCCUGAACCAGCCAAGUAGCGUGCAGGAUGACGGCCCUAUGGGUUGUAAACUGCUUUUAUGCGGGGAUAAAGUGGCCCACGUGUGGGUUUUUGCAGGUACCGCAUGAAUAAGGACCGGCUAAUUCCGUG